Molecule: unclassified non-coding RNA, 287 nt
Filed under: Hevea brasiliensis (rubber tree)
Lineage: Eukaryota; Viridiplantae; Streptophyta; Magnoliopsida; Malpighiales; Euphorbiaceae
Source: RNAcentral
UGUUACCAUUGCUAAUGGCGGUGUGUUGCCUAACAUUCACAACAUGUUAUUGCCUAAGAGAACUGGUCCUGGCCCCCAACGGCCCUGCUGAUGAUGACAACUAAAGAUUUUCAUGUACCCUUUUUUUCUCUUUGAAGAAGCAGUCUCAUACCUUUAGCAAAUAGUAGGUUUCUGGUUACUCUUUUCCUCUUUGUAUUAGUUUUUUCAGAACCCAUUUUUUAGUGCUCACCGUUUCCUGAUUUGAUGUUCUUCGACAAAUUCAGAAAUGAAUAGGGAUUUCAUUCACA